CUACGGGUCGCUGCAGUGGGGAAUAUUGGACAAUGGGGGAAACCCUGAUCCAGCAAUGCCGCGUGUGUGAAGAAGGCCUGCGGGUUGUAAAGCACUUUCGGUUGGGAGGACUGCUUCUAGCACUAAUAUUGUUGGAAGUUGACGUUACCUUCAGAAGAAGCACCGGCUGACUCCGUGCCAGCAGCCGCGGUAAUACGGGAGGGUGCAAGCGUUAAUCGGAAUUACUGGGCGUAAAGCGCGCGUAGGCGGCUAGAUCAGUCGGGUGUGAAAGCCCCGGGCUUAACCUGGGAACUGCAUCCGAUACUGUCUAGCUUGAGUACAGGAGAGGAGAGUGGAAUUCCACAUGUAGCGGUGAAAUGCGUAGAUAUGUGGAGGAACACCAAUGGCGAAGGCAGCUCUCUGGCCUGAUACUGACGCUGAGGUGCGAAAGCGUGGGGAGCAAACAGGAUUAGAUACCCCGGUAGUC
RNAcentral lists this ribosomal RNA (466 nucleotides) under uncultured bacterium. RNAcentral's name for it is "partial 16S ribosomal RNA". It matches the Rfam family "Bacterial small subunit ribosomal RNA", at positions 339 to 795 of the family's 1533-position model. The record is from RNAcentral.